Long non-coding RNA from Eurytemora carolleeae, 475 nucleotides. RefSeq lists it as uncharacterized. Lineage: Eukaryota; Metazoa; Arthropoda; Copepoda; Calanoida; Temoridae. The record is from RefSeq and is a predicted model, not a curated record. The transcript has 4 exons.
UAAUCAUAUAAAAUAAAAAUAAGGAAAUGUUCUUUCACAUUUAGACAGUGCUCAAAUGUUAGCGGUCUAGAAUUGUCAAAAAUGAGCGCGGAAUCCCUAAAAAAGCUGGCUAUGAACAUGCAUUGCAACUUUGAUGCCUUUUCUAUAGCUCAGGCAGAAAACAUAGGUUCAGAUUUUACAACCUUUCUGGGGAUAAGAGUUUCCAUAAAGAAUAAAUUUUCAAUUUUCAGUUAAUGUGAUAUUAAUAACUAUGUAUUUCAGGCGCAGCAAACUACACUAGAAUACUAGAAGAAACUUUAUCUGUUAUUAAUAAAGGAAAACAUAAAAGAUAAAGUUUUUAAGAAGUUUGCAACAUUUUAAAGUGAAGAAAAACAUCCCACAACUUAAGAACUGAACGGAAUGGGUCGACCCGACGGCUAUAGGUUCUGGUUCAGAGGCAGAUGGGAGGGGGGUCGUAAACCACACUCCACUAGAC